Molecule: long non-coding RNA, 1379 nt
Organism: Macadamia integrifolia
Lineage: Eukaryota; Viridiplantae; Streptophyta; Magnoliopsida; Proteales; Proteaceae
Exons: 4
Source: RefSeq, a predicted model, not a curated record
ACGACUGCAACCUCAGUCAUCACCGCCAAGGUCCAAGCACGUCUUUAAUGGAAAUUACCCUUUUUUUUUUUUCUUUUAUGAUUCUUUCUUCUUUUAUUGAUAAAUCAGAUCAGAGCCUGCUCUGUGUUUUAAGGUUUUGGACAUUUGGAUUCUGAGAAUCUAUGAUUCAAAGGCUUUCCUUCAUCCACUCUGAUGGUUUUAAUCUCCUGCAUAUGGUAGUGCUAAAGUCUCAAAUGCUUGAGAUUUUCGCAACUCAAGUGUGAACAGGAGGAUAUUAGCUUUGAGGACAAUCUCCUUUGACCAGUGUCCAAAUUUCUCUGAUUUCUCUGUGCGAGGGUGAACUAUUCAGGCAUGGAAAGCAUGCAAUCCAAUGAUCCAUGUUCUUGGCUGACUCUGUUCUUAAGAAGCUGGAGUUUAGAGGUUAUUUGAUAAGGGUAAAUCAUGACUCAUUGAUCUUCUUGCUGCUUAUUUGCUGCAUCUGUUCGUUUUAGAACAUUUUCUACAAGUGAUCCAUUUGGGCUCCUUCCAGUUUUUGGCUACCAGCCAAAUGUCAGAGACUUGUUACUGCAUUCAACAAUUUGGAGAAUGGAGACCCUGAAACUGAGAUUUACUGACUUUGCAAUAAUUAUCAAUGAGAUCUCAGUGGAUGUCUUAUAAGAAGCAGCCCUAAUUUACAGCAAGUCCAGAUCAAUACUCUGUGGCCUCUGUCACAAUUUCUCUGGAGACUUCCCUUCAAAGCUCAAGGCCCUUUAAGUUUAUAGCUUAAACCAAUUUCGGUCAUUAAGCCCUUGACAGUAAAGAUAUGUUGUGGCUUCAAGGAGCCUCGGCACAAGCCAAAAUCAUUUAUAAAGGGCCUCCGUCAGAAUUCAAGGAUUAGGCUUCUUCUACAUUCAUCGAGUGGGAUCUAGUUCUGAUCUUCGUUCCAGCAUCAUCAUCAUAACCAGCAGGCGGCCAAGGAGGCCCAAUCAUCAUUUUUGUACCUUCCUAAUCUUCUUCUGCAGCAGAACUCAGAUGAUGGUUGAGGCCGAAUAUGUCCAAUCAUGGCUUCAUCACCCUCCCGACCUUCAUCAUCUUCAAAUAUGGAAUUGGGUACUAUUCUGGAUUCGACAUUCCCAUUACUGGAGACAUUUCCAACCACCAGAGACAGCCUCAUCUUCUUUAAGCUCUGUCACGUUGGUUGUGCUUCCUAUCAAUGGUUCUGAUCUUCUGGUUCUCAGCACCUUUAAUACCUUAUUUUUUUUUCCUUCGAUUAUGUUUGUUUUAGAGUUCAGGGGACAUUUGAAUUUCAUCCCCCGGCAUUGUAGAGAUUAUCAGAGCUUUGACUCUCAGAAUAUGGAUUCCAAGUAGUGUAUAAUGAAAUUAUUCACAUUCCUUUCUUC